ACAUUGUUUGCAGGCUCAGAUCCUGAUGACAUGGAGCACGGCGAAUUGGAAGACUCAAGUCACAAUACCUAUGUCGACCAUGAUCCAUUGGACUAUGUCUACUCAAACCUCCCAGACCACACACACAUCCUGAAGCACGCCGCAAAUUGCGAUCACUGCAAGGCCAAGAAGUUUGUGUCUGAGGCCCCGGGAUUCUGCUGUCGCAGUGGGCAGAUCCACCUGAAGCGACCGGAGGCCGUCCCGGAGCUAAUGAGGCUUUGGUCUAGCAUGGAUGCGGACUCAAGGCAUUUUCGGGAGAACAUACGGUUCUUCAAUGACCACUUCUCCUUCACAAACCUCGGCGUCAGCCUUGAUGAAAGCUACACAAACAUGAAGUCUGGGGUGUACACGUUCCGGGCGCACGGCACCAUCUACCACAACGUUCAUUCCUUCGGGCCAACAUCACGUCCAGAUCAUCUACAGUUGUACUUCUACGACGACGACCCAGGCCUAACCCAUCGCAAGGCUGCCACCGAGCAAUUAGACCAAGAUGUCGUCAGAAAGUUAGUGGACAUACUCAGGGAAAACCCGUACUCCCAGUAG
This 582-nucleotide ribosomal RNA is filed under the name Triticum aestivum (bread wheat). RNAcentral describes it as "partial small subunit ribosomal RNA". The record is from RNAcentral. Lineage: Eukaryota; Viridiplantae; Streptophyta; Magnoliopsida; Poales; Poaceae.